AGUGGCGGACGGGUGAGUAACACGUAAGAAUUUGCCUUUAGGAGGGGGAUAACAACUGGAAACGGUUGCUAAUACCCCAUAUGCUUUCGAGUGAAAUGGAUUUCCGCCUAAAGAGAAGCUUGCGGCUGAUUAGCUUGUUGGUGAGGUAAUGGCUCACCAAGGCGACGAUCAGUAUCUGGUUUGAGAGGACGAUCGGACACACUGGAACUGAGACACGGUCCAGACUCCUACGGGAGGCAGCAGUGGGGAAUUUUCCGCAAUGGGCGAAAGCCUGACGGAGCAAUACCGCGUGAGGGAUGAAGGCCUAUGGGUUGUAAACCUCUUUUUUCAGGGAGGAACAAAAUGACGUGUACCUGAAGAAUAAGCAUCGGCUAACUCCGUGCCAGCAGCCGCGGUAAGACGGGGGAUGCAAGUGUUAUCCGGAAUCACUGGGCGUAAAGCGUCUGUAGGUGGUUAAGUAAGUCAACUGUUAAAUCUUGAGGCUUAACCUCAAAAUCGCAGUCGAAACUGCUUGACUAGAGUAUAGUAGGGGUAAAGGGAAUUUCCAGUGGAGCGGUGAAAUGCGUAGAUAUUGGAAAGAACGCCGAUGGCGAAGGCACUUUACUGGGCUAUUACUAACACUGAGAGACGAAAGCUAGGGUAGCAAAUGGGAUUAGAUACCCCAGUAGUCCUAGCUGUAAACAAUGGAUACUAGAUGUUG
This 700-nucleotide ribosomal RNA is filed under the name uncultured bacterium. Its description in RNAcentral is "bacterial SSU rRNA". It matches the Rfam family "Bacterial small subunit ribosomal RNA", at positions 94 to 825 of the family's 1533-position model. The record is from RNAcentral.